Molecule: ribosomal RNA, 506 nt
Filed under: uncultured bacterium
Lineage: Bacteria
Description: partial 16S ribosomal RNA
Rfam family: Bacterial small subunit ribosomal RNA
Source: RNAcentral
AACGAACGCUGGCGGCAGGCCUAACACAUGCAAGUCGAACGGCAGCGGGGGAUAGUUUGCUAUCCUGCCGGCGAGUGGCGGACGGGUGAGUAAUGCAUGGGGAGCUGCCCAAUCGAGGGGGAUAACAACUGGAAACGGUUGCUAAUACCGCAUACGCCCUGCGGGGGAAAGGUGGGGACCUUCGGGCCUACCGCGAUUGGAUGCACCCAUGUGGGAUUAGCUGGUUGGUGAGGUAACGGCUCACCAAGGCGACGAUCUCUAGCUGGUCCGAGAGGAUGACCAGCCACACUGGAACUGAGACACGGUCCAGACUCCUACGGGAGGCAGCAGUGGGGAAUAUUGCACAAUGGGGGAAACCCUGAUGCAGCCAUGCCGCGUGUGUGAAGAAGGCCUUCGGGUUGUAAAGCACUUUCAGUGGGGAGGAAGGGGAGUAAGCUAAUAACUUGCUUCAUUGACGUUACCCACAGAAGAAGCACCGGCUAACUCCGUGCCAGCCGCCGCAGUAA